Molecule: ribosomal RNA, 254 nt
Filed under: uncultured bacterium
Lineage: Bacteria
Description: partial 16S ribosomal RNA
Rfam family: Bacterial small subunit ribosomal RNA
Source: RNAcentral
UACGUAGGGACGAAGCGUUGUUCGGAUUUACUGGGCGUAAAGGGCGCGUAGGCGGCGCUGUAAGUCACUUGUGAAAUCUCCGGGCUUAACUCGGAACGGUCAAGUGAUACUGCAGUGCUAGAGUGCGGAAGGGGCAAUCGGAAUUCUUGGUGUAGCGGUGAAAUGCGUAGAUAUCAAGAGGAACACCUGAGGUGAAGACGGGUUGCUGGGCCGACACUGCCGCUGACAGCGCGCAAGCCAGGGGAGCAAACGGG